RNAcentral lists this transfer RNA (57 nucleotides) under Cynocephalus volans (Philippine flying lemur). RNAcentral describes it as "partial tRNA-Val". The record is from RNAcentral. Lineage: Eukaryota; Metazoa; Chordata; Mammalia; Dermoptera; Cynocephalidae.
UUAACCAAAAGCACCCGGCCUACACCCGGAAGAUUUCAUACCAACUGACCACUUUGA